RNAcentral lists this ribosomal RNA (492 nucleotides) under uncultured bacterium. RNAcentral's name for it is "partial 16S ribosomal RNA". It matches the Rfam family "Bacterial small subunit ribosomal RNA", at positions 29 to 507 of the family's 1533-position model. The record is from RNAcentral.
AGUGAACGCUGGCGGUAGGCCUAACACAUGCAAGUCGAACGGCAGCACAGUAAGAGCUUGCUCUUACGGGUGGCGAGUGGCGGACGGGUGAGGAAUACAUCGGAAUCUACUUUUUCGUGGGGGAUAACGUAGGGAAACUUACGCUAAUACCGCAUACGACCUACGGGUGAAAGCAGGGGAUCUUCGGACCUUGCGCGAUUGAAUGAGCCGAUGUCGGAUUAGCUAGUUGGCGGGGUAAAGGCCCACCAAGGCGACGAUCCGUAGCUGGUCUGAGAGGAUGAUCAGCCACACUGGAACUGAGACACGGUCCAGACUCCUACGGGAGGCAGCAGUGGGGAAUAUUGGACAAUGGGCGCAAGCCUGAUCCAGCCAGACCGCGUGUGUGAAGAAGGCCUUCGGGUUGUAAAGCCCUUUUGUUGGGAAAGAAAAGCAGCAGGUUAAUACCCCGCUGUUCUGACGGUACCCAAAGAAUAAGCACCGGCUAACUUCGUG